Molecule: non-coding RNA, 778 nt
Organism: Prunus mume (Japanese apricot)
Lineage: Eukaryota; Viridiplantae; Streptophyta; Magnoliopsida; Rosales; Rosaceae
Source: RefSeq, a predicted model, not a curated record
GCAAAUUAAAGGCCCCCCUUCUCUCUCUCUCAAAAUCUUUCAAAAUCUCUCUAGUCCUGCUCAAAGGAAGGAUCAUGAGUAUUGUACAUAUUUUCUUAUCAUGCAUUUGUAGCAGUUGAAGCUGCCAGCAUGAUCUUAACCUCCCUAUUUUGGUUAGGGAAGAUCAGAUCAUGUGGCAGUUUCACCUGUUAUUGGUAGCAUGAGAUCAAACCCUAAUUCCCACAUAAACCUUUGCAAUCCCUAGAUAAAAGCUGCUCGGAAAUGUCAGCUGUUUGGGGUUGUUAGGGUUUUGAAUGACAGAAACUGUGUGUUUCCACGCAGUUCGAUGAUUUCAAGAUCCUCAUCUGGCACUUCGGGCAUUGAGCCACGGCUACCGAGCAAACCUGCCGUACUCUUUUUGAUUAUUAGUCAUACGGCCUGCAUCAAGAUUUCAUAUUUGGGGGAUAAUGAGACAAGUUAUUUGUAUUCUGACAAUAAUAUUGGACCAGAUAAGUACAGUACAGGCAGUCAUUUAAAUGCUCACCUUCUCAAAUUGAGAAUAGAAUAUGAAGCCAUAUGGCUUGAAGUACCACCUUCAGGCUUCAAAAGGACAAAUAUAUAAUAUAUAUAUAUAUUUUGAUCACUUCAUAUCAUAUGCAGACCAGACACAGAUCAAUUCUGGCAAAUUUGGAUUCUCAGUAGAAAUAAUCUGUGAGAUUGGCUGUGUCUGUUUCCUAAGUGUGCAAUGUGAUAGCAAUUGAUGAUGUAAUUUCUCAACUGUGAUCCCCAUGUGAAACCC